RNAcentral lists this ribosomal RNA (497 nucleotides) under uncultured bacterium. RNAcentral describes it as "partial 16S ribosomal RNA". It matches the Rfam family "Bacterial small subunit ribosomal RNA", at positions 28 to 507 of the family's 1533-position model. The record is from RNAcentral.
GAUGAACGCUGGCGGCGUGCCUAAUACAUGCAAGUCGAGCGAACAGAUGAGGAACUUGCUCCUCUGACGUUAGCGGCGGACGGGUGAGUAACACGUGGAUAACCUACCUAUAAGACUGGGAUAACUUCGGGAAACCGGAGCUAAUGCCGGAUAAUAUAUUGAACCGCAUGGUUCAAUAGUGAAAGACGGUUUUGCUGUCACUUAUAGAUGGAUCCGCGCCGCAUUAGCUAGUUGGUAAGGUAACGGCUUACCAAGGCAACGAUGCGUAGCCGACCUGAGAGGGUGAUCGGCCACACUGGAACUGAGACACGGUCCAGACUCCUACGGGAGGCAGCAGUAGGGAAUCUUCCGCAAUGGGCGAAAGCCUGACGGAGCAACGCCGCGUGAGUGAUGAAGGUCUUCGGAUCGUAAAACUCUGUUAUUAGGGAAGAACAAAUGUGUAAGUAACUAUGCACGUCUUGACGGUACCUAAUCAGAAAGACACGGCUAACUACGUG